ACUCUAAAACUUGUUGAUCCCAG
This 23-nucleotide non-coding RNA is filed under the name Cricetulus griseus (Chinese hamster). Lineage: Eukaryota; Metazoa; Chordata; Mammalia; Rodentia; Cricetidae. The record is from RNAcentral.